GAACGCACCUUCGGGUGAGUGGCAGACGGGUGAGUAACGCGUGGGAACCUUCCCUGUGGUACGGAAUAACUUCGGGAAACCGAAGCUAAUACCGUAUAUCUCCUCCGGGAGAAAGAUUUAUCGCCAUAGGAUGGGCCCGCGUUGGAUUAGCUAGUUGGUAGGGUAAUGGCCUACCAAGGCAACGAUCCAUAGCUGGUCUGAGAGGAUGAUCAGCCACACUGGGACUGAGACACGGCCCAGACUCCUACGGGAGGCAGCAGUGGGGAAUAUUGGACAAUGGGCGCAAGCCUGAUCCAGCCAUGCCGCGUGAGUGAAGAAGGCCUUAGGGUUGUAAAGCUCUUUUGGCGGGGACGAUAAUGACGGUACCCGCAGAAUAAGCCCCGGCUAACUUCGUG
Molecule: ribosomal RNA, 395 nt
Filed under: uncultured bacterium
Lineage: Bacteria
Description: bacterial SSU rRNA
Rfam family: Bacterial small subunit ribosomal RNA
Source: RNAcentral